GGUCUAAUAGUGUAGUGGUUAUCACAAUGGAUUCUGAUAGUCCUCUGCCGUGUAGUGAAUUCCAUUAACCCAGGUUCGAGUCCUGGUUAGACCU
Non-coding RNA from Marasmius sp. AFHP31, 94 nucleotides. The record is from the annotation of a GenBank genome assembly. Lineage: Eukaryota; Fungi; Basidiomycota; Agaricomycetes; Agaricales; Marasmiaceae.